ACAGAGGUCCCAAGCGUUGUUCGGAUUCACUGGGCGUAAAGGGUGCGUAGGCGGGCUAGUAAGUCAGGGGUGAAAGCCUGCGGCUCAACCGCGGAACUGCCCUUGAUACUGCAAGUCUUGAGUCCUGGAGGGGCUGGCGGAAUUCGUGGUGUAGCGGUGAAAUGCGUAGAUAUCACGAGGAACACCGGAGGUGUAGACGGCCAGCUGGACAGGUACUGACGCUGAGGCACGAAAGCGUGGGGAGCUAACAGGA
This 253-nucleotide ribosomal RNA is filed under the name uncultured prokaryote. Its description in RNAcentral is "partial 16S ribosomal RNA". It matches the Rfam family "Bacterial small subunit ribosomal RNA", at positions 525 to 777 of the family's 1533-position model. The record is from RNAcentral.